GAUGAACGCUGGCGGCGUGCCUAAUACAUGCAAGUCGAACGAAACUUCUUUAUCACCGAGUGCUUGCACUCACCGAUAAAGAGUUGAGUGGCGAACGGGUGAGUAACACGUGGGCAACCUGCCCAAAAGAGGGGGAUAACACUUGGAAACAGGUGCUAAUACCGCAUAACCAUAGUUACCGCAUGGUAACUAUGUAAAAGGUGGCUAUACUACCGCUUUUGGAUGGGCCCGCGGCGCAUUAGCUAGUUGGUAGGGUAAAGGCUUACCAAGGCAAUGAUGCGUAGCCGAAGUGAGAGGUUGAUCGGCCACAUUGGGACUGAGACACGGCCCAAACUCCUACGGGAGGCAGCAGUAGGGAAUCUUCCACAAUGGGCGAAAGCCUGAUGGAGCAACGCCGCGUGGGUGAAGAAGGUCUUUGGAUCGUAAAACCCUGUUGUUAGAGAAGAAAGUGCGUGAGAGUAACUGUUCACGUUUCGACGGUAUCUAACCAGAAAGCCACGGCUAACUACGUG
RNAcentral lists this ribosomal RNA (512 nucleotides) under uncultured bacterium. RNAcentral's name for it is "partial 16S ribosomal RNA". It matches the Rfam family "Bacterial small subunit ribosomal RNA", at positions 28 to 507 of the family's 1533-position model. The record is from RNAcentral.